Molecule: ribosomal RNA, 500 nt
Filed under: uncultured bacterium
Lineage: Bacteria
Description: partial 16S ribosomal RNA
Rfam family: Bacterial small subunit ribosomal RNA
Source: RNAcentral
AUUGAACGCUGGCGGCAUGCCCUACACAUGCAAGUCGAACGGCAGCACGGGAGCAAUCCUGGUGGCGAGUGGCGAACGGGUGAGUAAUAUAUCGGAACGUGCCCAGUCGUGGGGGAUAACGCAGCGAAAGCUGUGCUAAUACCGCAUACGAUCUAAGGAUGAGAGCGGGGGAUCGCAAGACCUCGCGCGAGUGGAGCGGCCGAUAUCAGAUUAGCUAGUUGGUGGGGUAAAGGCCCACCAAGGCGACGAUCUGUAGCUGGUCUGAGAGGACGGCCAGCCACACUGGAACUGAGACACGGUCCAGACUCCUACGGGAGGCAGCAGUGGGGAAUUUUGAACAAUGGGCGCAAGCCUGAUCCAGCAAUGCCGCGUGCAGGAUGAAGGCCUUCGGGUUGUAAACUGCUUUUGUACGGAACGAAACGGCCCUUUCUAAUACAGGGGGCUAAUGACGGUACCGUAAGAAUAAGCACCGGCUAACUACGUGCCAGCCGCCGCCGUAA